UAUACCGGAUAGGACCACGGGAUGCAUGUCUUGUGGUGGAAAGCGCUUUAGCGGUGUGGGAUGAGCCCGCGGCCUAUCAGCUUGUUGGUGGGGUGACGGCCUACCAAGGCGACGACGGGUAGCCGGCCUGAGAGGGUGUCCGGCCACACUGGGACUGAGAUACGGCCCAGACUCCUACGGGAGGCAGCAGUGGGGAAUAUUGCACAAUGGGCGCAAGCCUGAUGCAGCGACGCCGCGUGGGGGAUGACGGCCUUCGGGUUGUAAACCUCUUUCACCAUCGACGAAGGUCCGGGUUCUCUCGGAUUGACGGUAGGUGGAGAAGAAGCACCGGCCAACUACGUGCCAGCAGCCGCGGUAAUACGUAGGGUGCGAGCGUUGUCCGGAAUUACUGGGCGUAAAGAGCUCGUAGGUGGUUUGUCGCGUUGUUCGUGAAAUCUCACGGCUUAACUGUGAGCGUGCGGGCGAUACGGGCAGACUAGAGUACUGCAGGGAAAAAAAGUGAGAAAA
This 507-nucleotide ribosomal RNA is filed under the name Mycobacterium sp. enrichment culture clone 320. RNAcentral describes it as "bacterial SSU rRNA". It matches the Rfam family "Bacterial small subunit ribosomal RNA", at positions 165 to 707 of the family's 1533-position model. The record is from RNAcentral. Lineage: Bacteria; Bacillati; Actinomycetota; Actinomycetes; Mycobacteriales; Mycobacteriaceae.